AUCAGGUAGGGCUACCCGCUGA
Molecule: ribosomal RNA, 22 nt
Filed under: uncultured Cryptococcus
Lineage: Eukaryota; Fungi; Basidiomycota; Tremellomycetes
Description: partial 28S ribosomal RNA
Source: RNAcentral